This 784-nucleotide ribosomal RNA is filed under the name Bacillus subtilis. RNAcentral's name for it is "bacterial SSU rRNA". It matches the Rfam family "Bacterial small subunit ribosomal RNA", at positions 49 to 816 of the family's 1533-position model. The record is from RNAcentral. Lineage: Bacteria; Bacillati; Bacillota; Bacilli; Caryophanales; Bacillaceae.
CUAUACAUGCAGUCGAGCGGACAGAUGGGAGCUUGCUCCCUGAUGUUAGCGGCGGACGGGUGAGUAACACGUGGGUAACCUGCCUGUAAGACUGGGAUAACUCCGGGAAACCGGGGCUAAUACCGGAUGGUUGUUUGAACCGCAUGGUUCAAACAUAAAAGGUGGCUUCGGCUACCACUUACAGAUGGACCCGCGGCGCAUUAGCUAGUUGGUGAGGUAACGGCUCACCAAGGCAACGAUGCGUAGCCGACCUGAGAGGGUGAUCGGCCACACUGGGACUGAGACACGGCCCAGACUCCUACGGGAGGCAGCAGUAGGGAAUCUUCCGCAAUGGACGAAAGUCUGACGGAGCAACGCCGCGUGAGUGAUGAAGGUUUUCGGAUCGUAAAGCUCUGUUGUUAGGGAAGAACAAGUACCGUUCGAAUAGGGCGGUACCUUGACGGUACCUAACCAGAAAGCCACGGCUAACUACGUGCCAGCAGCCGCGGUAAUACGUAGGUGGCAAGCGUUGUCCGGAAUUAUUGGGCGUAAAGGGCUCGCAGGCGGUUUCUUAAGUCUGAUGUGAAAGCCCCCGGCUCAACCGGGGAGGGUCAUUGGAAACUGGGGAACUUGAGUGCAGAAGAGGAGAGUGGAAUUCCACGUGUAGCGGUGAAAUGCGUAGAGAUGUGGAGGAACACCAGUGGCGAAGGCGACUCUCUGGUCUGUAACUGACGCUGAGGAGCGAAAGCGUGGGGAGCGAACAGGAUUAGAUACCCUGGUAGUCCACGCCGUAAACGAUGAGUGC